UCCGGUGUAGCGCAGCGGUAGCGCAGUUGGCUGUUAACCAAUUGGUCGCUGGUUCGAAUCCAGCCACCGGAGCCA
Molecule: transfer RNA, 75 nt
Filed under: Kiritimatiellia bacterium
Lineage: Bacteria; Pseudomonadati; Kiritimatiellota; Kiritimatiellia
Description: Kiritimatiellae bacterium (gut metagenome) tRNA-Asn
Rfam family: tRNA
About the family: Transfer RNA (tRNA) molecules are approximately 80 nucleotides in length. Their secondary structure includes four short double-helical elements and three loops (D, anti-codon, and T loops).
Source: RNAcentral